UCAGGAUGAACGCUGGCGGCGUGCAUAACACAUCAAGUCGAACGGACGAGGCCCCUCGGGGACGUGAGUCAGUGGCGGACGGGUGAGUAACGCGUGAGCAACCUGCCUAUGCAGGGGGAUAACAGUGGGAAACUACUGCUAAUACCGCAUAACACAUGCCUUGGGCAUCCUUGGCAUGUCAAAGAUUCAUUGCGCAUAGAUGGGCUCGCGUCCGAUUAGAUAGUUGGUGAGGUAACGGCCCACCAAGUCGACGAUCGGUAGCCGGACUGAGAGGUUGAACGGCCACAUUGGAACUGAGAGACGGUCCAGACUCCUACGGGAGGCAGCAGUGGGGAAUAUUGGGCAAUGGGCGAAAAAGCCUGACCCAGCGACGCCGCGUGAGUGAAGAAGGUCUUCGGAUUGUAAAGCUUAGUUAUCGGGGAAGAAGGAAGUGACGGUACCCGAAGAGAAAGCCACGGCUAACUACGUGCCAGCCGCGGC
This 480-nucleotide ribosomal RNA is filed under the name uncultured bacterium. RNAcentral describes it as "bacterial SSU rRNA". It matches the Rfam family "Bacterial small subunit ribosomal RNA", at positions 24 to 518 of the family's 1533-position model. The record is from RNAcentral.